Molecule: ribosomal RNA, 397 nt
Filed under: uncultured bacterium
Lineage: Bacteria
Description: bacterial SSU rRNA
Rfam family: Bacterial small subunit ribosomal RNA
Source: RNAcentral
UAUUGGACAAUGGGCGCAAGCGUGAUCCAGCCAUGCCGCGUGGAUGAUGAAGGCCUUAGGGUUGUAAAGUCCUUUUAACGGGGAAGAUAAUGACGGUACCCGUAGAAUAAGCCCCGGCGAACGUCGUGCCAGCAGCCGCGGUAAUACGAAGGGGGCUAGCGUUGCUCGGAAUUACUGGGCGUAAAGCCCACGUAGGCGGCUCUUUAAGUCGGGGGUGAAAUCCUCGAGCUCAACUCCAGAGCUGCCUUCGAUACUGACGAGCUCGAGUCCGGAAGAGGUGAGUGGAACUGCGAGUGUAGAAGUGAAAUUCGUAGAUAUUCGCAAGAACACCAGUGGCGAAGGCGGCUCACUGGCCCGGUACUGACGCUGAGGUGCGAAAGCGUGGGGAGCAAACAGG